CCCUUUGGUCGUCAGCACGUCCCCCAGCUGCGCCUCGCGCUCGGCCAGGGCCUCCAGGUCGCCGUGGAGACCGCGACACUCCCUCAGCAACGCCUAUUGACCCGAGAGAGUAAAUUACACGAGAGAAAGACUGCCGCCCUUGACGUCCAAUCUCAACGCGAUGUUCUUCAGCUUGGCCUCGAUGUCCUUCAGCCGGAAGCUGAAGUCCUCUUUCACGUCCCGCGUCUGUUGCACCUCCCGCUCUCUGGCCUGGACCUGGUGCGCACGGCACAGAGACGCUCGGGAUUAACUUUGGACUGGUGUGAAAUGAAUUUCAGUGCUGCCCGUAGGGGUUUUCACCUGAUCUUCGGCGGAGCCCAGCGCCAGCGUCACCUCCGCCAGCUGCAUGCCGAGCUCCGACGGCAGACCCGCCUGCAGGUCGUGGUACUUGGACUGCUGCAACUCCGUCAUGCGCUCGACGCUCUGACGCCUGCUGACGACCCCGCGCAGAGUGUCCAGGUCGGCGGUGGGGCUCAGGAGCAAGCCUUGAGUGUCUUGAAUCCAACCUUUGACCAGGACCAGCUCCCUUUCCACCUCCUGUCUCUCCCUCAACUCCUGUUGCACCUGCGUUCGGCUGGCCUGAACUUGGGAGACGACACUUGAGAAGACAAAAGCGGUCUUCCUCUGCAACUCCUCCUCAUCACCGGUGAGGCCGCGGGCGCACCGGCCCAGCAGAGCCAGGAUGGACUGCUCCCUCGCCACCUCUAGGACGAAGGAGUCGUGGUACUCCAGGAGGCUCUGGAGGGCCGCCCCGGUGGCCGCCUUCUCCACAGUGCUGUCUGGGAUGCGGCUGUGGAGGUCCGCUGAGACGGACCGCGCCUUAUCCAUCUGGGGACCGUCAGACAGGAGGCGACUGGACUCCAGUGCACGGAAUGACAUCAUGACAAUUAAAACAAAGCAGCAAUAGAAAAUCAAGGCGUAGCGCUUUGUGGGAAUUCUUGACGGCUGACGUGUUCGUGCUGGAAAUAGCAAAGAGAGGCUGCACGAUGUGAGUUGUGGCCCGCCGGGGGAAAACAACUGGCCCAGAGCCUGGAGUUACAUCACUGGUUUUGGAGUUGUUUGACCCAAAUCAGUAGGAAGAGGCGCAAGUUUAGCAAGUGCUUGUCGACUGCCAGCUUUCAAAGUGGGACACGGGUUUCUACGAUGGUUUACAGAUUAAAUGUUUUGUCAUUGAACAAGGGAUUACAGUGUACCGUACCAACAAAAUACUUGUGAUAUGAUGUAUAUUCCCAUUUGUGAAACGCAAGGCUUGAAGAGGGGCAUAUGGUGGUGCCUUGAGACGGGAAGCCUGAAUUGCAUGUUUUUCAGGGUACAUUGUGCCAAUAAUUUGUUUUGACUUAUGAACGAAAACCUGAGUGACGAGCGCUGUAUGUUGGCAGUGACCUCAACUCACUUCGCAAC
Syngnathoides biaculeatus (alligator pipefish) is the source of this 1440-nucleotide long non-coding RNA. RefSeq lists it as uncharacterized. The record is from RefSeq and is a predicted model, not a curated record. The transcript has 7 exons. NCBI's taxonomy places the organism in Eukaryota, Metazoa, Chordata, Actinopteri, Syngnathiformes, Syngnathidae.